UCUACGGGAGGCAGCAGUGGGGAAUAUUGGACAAUGGGGGGAACCCUGAUCCAGCGACGCCGCGUGAGUGAAGAAGUAUUUCGGUAUGUAAAGCUCUAUCAGCAGGGAAGAAAAUGACGGUACCUGACUAAGAAGCCCCGGCUAACUACGUGCCAGCAGCCGCGGUAAUACGUAGGGGGCAAGCGUUAUCCGGAUUUACUGGGUGUAAAGGGAGCGUAGACGGUGCAGCAAGUCUGAUGUGAAAGGUCGGGGCCCAACCCCGGGACUGCAUUGGAAACUGUGUAACUGGAGUACAGGAGGGGCAGGCGGAAUGCCUGGUGUAGCGGUGAAAUGCGUAGAUAUCAGGAGGAACACCGGCGGCGAAGGCGGCCUGCUGGACUGAAACUGACGUUGAGGCUCGAAAGCGUGGGGAGCAAACAGGAUUAGAUACCCCAGUAGUC
This 440-nucleotide ribosomal RNA is filed under the name uncultured bacterium. RNAcentral describes it as "partial 16S ribosomal RNA". It matches the Rfam family "Bacterial small subunit ribosomal RNA", at positions 338 to 795 of the family's 1533-position model. The record is from RNAcentral.